RNAcentral lists this ribosomal RNA (200 nucleotides) under uncultured bacterium. Its description in RNAcentral is "partial 16S ribosomal RNA". It matches the Rfam family "Bacterial small subunit ribosomal RNA", at positions 28 to 217 of the family's 1533-position model. The record is from RNAcentral.
GACGAACGCUGGCGGCGUGCCUAACACAUGCAAGUCGAGCGGGGUCCAAAUCCAGUGGCAACACUGGGGAAGACCUAGCGGCGAACGGGUGAGUAACACGUGAGAAACCUGCCCUGAACUCUGGGAUAACCCGAGGAAACUCGAGCUAAUACCGGAUGCCCCCACCGGGUCGCAUGGCCUGGUGAGGAAAGAUUUUAUCG